AAUAAAGUAAUAUAUUAAUAUUAUAAAGUAUUGAAAAUGCUUAGAAGGGUUAUGGCCCCUUUAUU
RNAcentral lists this transfer RNA (65 nucleotides) under Styela plicata. RNAcentral's name for it is "transfer RNA-Phe". The record is from RNAcentral. Lineage: Eukaryota; Metazoa; Chordata; Ascidiacea; Stolidobranchia; Styelidae.